ACGUGUUAUUCGUGUAGAACGUAUCAGUCUCUCAGUGUAGCUUAUCGACCUCAGAUUUCAGAGAAGCAGUACUUUGUGACGGCGUUGGCAGCGAGGGCGAAGCUGAAGGCGUGGUCGGACGUAGACGCUCUGUUCACCUGCAGGAAUUGGCUCGGAUUCACCAAGAAGAAAUCUCCUCUCAGCUUCCAUCGAGUCGUCGACAUCCUGCAGAAAAACUCUGCCCCCGCACAGGUGUUGCAGGAGUACGUCGGCCUGGUCGAUGACGCCGACACGAGGACCUGUCUUGCGCAGAAACUGAAAUGUCACGACAUCGUCAUCAACACGUACCGGGAUCUGAAGGACCGACAGCUGUUGCUAGGAUACCGAGGGAAGGUGGAGAAAGGUUCAGCAGAGGAGAGGAAGAUCAACGAGCUGCUGGACAACCCGCAAAUCCGCUGGAAGAACUGAUCCACGGAAUCUUCAACAGUCUCGGUUCAGCGACCGCCUCCCCCAACGUUGGUCUGGUCUUAUUGCGUCAACAGCAUGUCCCGCCCUUAAAGCUAUCGCCUAGCAACAGAGCUACGGUCAUUGGAGUUCUUCGGUCGAUUCAAAAUGUCUUGAAAUGCAGCCUCCGAAGGGUGUGGCCCUGGAUUAAGACUGUCCAUCACCAUGACAACCACAUUCCUCCGAGAAAACUUUUUUUUACAUGAACAAUAAAGUUAUUUAAAAUUGUAAAA
This is a non-coding RNA of Paralichthys olivaceus (Japanese flounder), 716 nucleotides long. Lineage: Eukaryota; Metazoa; Chordata; Actinopteri; Pleuronectiformes; Paralichthyidae. The record is from RefSeq and is a predicted model, not a curated record.